UUAGAUAAGUAUUAAAUAAAAUGAUAAUAAAAAAAUUAAUUGUCAAUGUUUUGUUUGAUUCAACUUUUUGACGAUAUUAUCAGUGAGUGCGUAGAGCAAAACGGCAACAACGACGCGAUGCAGCAGUGUUAUAAGUAGUGAAAUUUAGAAGUGCUGCUAUAGCGAUAGCGUCUGUAUGUGUUUUCGAACAGCCUCCGCUCACUGGUAUUGCUGACUUCUGUAACCACAUCAAGAUGACCCUGGAGCUAGAUUUACUUUCCCUGUGGUGCUGAUUUGCGUCUCUGGGUACUUCAACAUUAUCUGGUCGUGCUGCUUAGUAUUUCUGGCUGAUCUAACCACCCAAAGACAACGCUCAAGCUAUAUUCGAACUUUCUGGCUGUCCUGGAGACGUUUCUAGUUGCCUGAACCACCUACAAACGACCAUGGAGCUGUAUUUUCGCUUUUUGACAGUCCUGGUUGGUGUUGCUGGCUGCUUGAACCACGUCGAGAUGAUCUUGGAGCUGGAUUCAUGCUUGCUGUGUACAAGCAAUUCUGCAUUUAUUGGCAUCGUAGUCUACUGCAUGCACCAGAGUAUAACUAAAGAUAUUGGUGUCGUUGGUAUCUGAGCUAUCGCAAUCUUGGAGUUGGAAGAAAGCUUUAUCAAGACUCCGGCAGUAUUUGCUUUAUUGAUAUAUAAGUUAUUUUAUCAGAUGAGAUCAGUGAGUUGAAUAAUUAUUUGUAAGUAUGAGUUUAUAAUAUGAUUUCUUCUCUUUUCUAGCGUGUAAGUCAUACUACAACUGAGGAUAUCAUGGUCUGCUGGAUGGGGAGCAGUAGAAUCAACGGUACCGGUCUUAUGCCUGAUCAUUGGUAACACUGGAUCUUCGUUAGUGUGAAACUUUCAGAUGCAGUGCUUACAAGAUGCAGGUUAUACGUAAAAAAUAUGAAAUAUAGUGACGAGCAGUUGCAGCAAAGAAUUGUAUUUUCAAGAGGAUAUUAUUACUUUUGAAAUGGAACAGAAGCUUUUUAUUAAUUAGUGCAGUCAAUAUUUGAUUUAGUAGUGCGGGUUAAUUUAGAAAAUUGAUUGUUUAGAAUAUAGUGUUUGUUUAGAGGGACGUGUCAGGCUUCUCAGAGGCUUUCUUCAAUCUGUUAUUUCCAUUAUUAUUUAAUUUAGGUUUUCUAGUUCGGUACAAUAUACUCAAAUUUUGAAAGUAAAUUGUGUUGAAAUAGUGGAUAAAUAAUAAUACUGAGGUUAAUAAUAUUAAUAAUAUAUAUUGAGGUAAAUAAUUGUGUGUCGGCAAUAGCCUCGGUUAAUACGUCCGCUCACAUCGGAGUCGAACAGCGUGUACAGUAUAAUCAGCGAUUAGAGUGUAGACGCGAGGCAUGCGCGGUGCGGUCGCUCUCGCGUGAGCUCGUCUCGUUGCACAAAAUCGUCGUCGACCAAUAGAUGGCACGACAAGUGCCAUUUUGAUCAUGAAUCGAGAUUAUAAGAUUUACUCAAUAUUACAACAAAUUGUAUUGAUUCACUUCAAAAAAUAUCUAUUAUCUUUUGUCAAAUUUCAUGCGCUUAUUACGAAAUUGUCUUAUUACGUUUAUGUUAACUACUUUAAUUUCAAGUCAUUUCAUAAAGCUGAUCCGGAGAUAAAUGGGUAGGAGGAUUUUUACUCCAACGUUGUGACGGUAUACGCUCACAUAUACCACACUAGUAGUUCCGAACUCGACCGAUAGGCGGCGAGCGUGCGAGCGAGCUCAUAUCACGGCACUAGUUCCGCGCUCGCCCGCCAAGUAGAUACGGCGCAAGCGGAGCAUGGCGCACAGACAAUCCACAGCGCAUUGAUCGAACUGAGGGCUCUUAUGGAAGCGGCCUCGCCAAGAGCGGCAUCGAGUGAUCACAGCAUUUUUGUAUGCUCUUACGCUUAUGUAAGAGGCAGCAGUGAUCUUUCGUCAUUGACUGGCAGGGUGCGACCUCCAGUCUUGGGUUAAGGGAUGCGACCCUUAGCCCCAAGGAACUACCUGAGUUGGCCGUCGGUUAAUUAGUCAUCUACAUUUCCGAUAACCGAUACCGUACCGUUUAUACCGACCCAUCAGGACAUCGAACCGACAACGGCCAGCUCCAGUAGGGAACCGCGAUUGCUUAUAUUAAUCUUUUGUAAAUAUAUUAGUAGUUCAAAUAGUCGUUCCUUUUCCAGGGAUCCGAACGACAUAGUCGAAACCGUCGUUACCAGUUGAACGCAUUGUUAAAUCACUUGUAUGCUUAUAAUUUAAACACAAUAUACUAUUACUUAUUUUAAUUCUAAA
This is a long non-coding RNA of Nasonia vitripennis (jewel wasp), 2274 nucleotides long. RefSeq lists it as uncharacterized. NCBI's taxonomy places the organism in Eukaryota, Metazoa, Arthropoda, Insecta, Hymenoptera, Pteromalidae. The record is from RefSeq and is a predicted model, not a curated record. The transcript has 4 exons.